GGUUAAGCGACUAAGCGUACACGGUGGAUGCCCUGGCAGUCAGAGGCGAUGAAGGACGUGCUAAUCUGCGAAAAGCGUCGGUAAGGUGAUAUGAACCGUUAUAGCCGGCGAUGUCCGAAUGGGGAAACCCAGUGUGAUUCGUCACACUAUCGUUAACUGAAUACAUAGGUUAACGAGGCGAACCGGGGGAACUGAAACAUCUAAGUACCCCGAGGAAAAGAAAUCAACCGAGAUUCCCCCAGUAGCGGCGAGCGAACGGGGAGCAGCCCAGAGUCUGAAUCAGCUUGUGUGUUAGUGGAACGGUCUGGAAAGUCCGACGGUACAGGGUGAUAGUCCCGUACACCAAAAUGCACAGGCUGUGAACUCGAAGAGUAGGGCGGGACACGUGGUAUCCUGUCUGAAUAUGGGGGGACCAUCCUCCAAGGCUAAAUACUCCUGACUGACCGAUAGUGAACCAGUACCGUGAGGGAAAGGCGAAAAGAACCCCGGCGAGGGGAGUGAAAAAGAACCUGAAACCGUGUACGUACAAGCAGUGGGAGCACCUUCGGGUGUGACUGCGUACCUUUUGUAUAAUGGGUCAGCGACUUAUAUUCUGUAGCAAGGUUAACCGUAUAGGGGAGCCGCAGGGAAACCGAGUCUUAACUGGGCGUUAAGUUGCAGGGUAUAGACCCGAAACCCGGUGAUCUAGCCAUGGGCAGGUUGAAGGUUGGGUAACACUAACUGGAGGACCGAACCGACUAAUGUUGAAAAAUUAGCGGAUGACUUGUGGCUUGGGGUGAAAGGCCAAUCAAACCGGGAGAUAGCUGGUUCUCCCCGAAAGCUAUUUAGGUAGCGCCUCGUGAAUUCAUCUUCGGGGGUAGAGCACUGUUUCGGCUAGGGGGUCAUCCCGACUUACCAACCCGAUGCAAACUACGAAUACCGAAGAAUGUUAUCACGGGAGACACACGGCGGGUGCUAACGUCCGUCGUGAAGAGGGAAACAACCCAGACCGCCAGCUAAGGUCCCAAAGUCAUGGUUAAGUGGGAAACGAUGUGGGAAGGCACAGACAGCCAGGAUGUUGGCUUAGAAGCAGCCAUCAUUUAAAGAAAGCGUAAUAGCUCACUGGUCGAGUCGGCCUGCGCGGAAGAUGUAACGGGGCUAAACCAUGCACCGAAGCUGCGGCAGCGACACUAUGUGUUGUUGGGUAGGGGAGCGUUCUGUAAGCCUGCGAAGGUGUGCUGUGAGGCAUGCUGGAGGUAUCAGAAGUGCGAAUGCUGACAUAAGUAACGAUAAAGCGGGUGAAAAGCCCGCUCGCCGGAAGACCAAGGGUUCCUGUCCAACGUUAAUCGGGGCAGGGUGAGUCGACCCCUAAGGCGAGGCCGAAAGGCGUAGUCGAUGGGAAACAGGUUAAUAUUCCUGUACUUGGUGUUACUGCGAAGGGGGGACGGAGAAGGCUAUGUUAGCCGGGCGACGGUUGUCCCGGUUUAAGCAUGUAGGCUGGUUGUCCAGGCAAAUCCGGAUAAUCAAGGCUGAGGUGUGAUGACGAGGCACUACGGUGCUGAAGUAACAAAUGCCCUGCUUCCAGGAAAAGCCUCUAAGCAUCAGGUAACAUUAAAUCGUACCCCAAACCGACACAGGUGGUCAGGUAGAGAAUACCAAGGCGCUUGAGAGAACUCGGGUGAAGGAACUAGGCAAAAUGGUGCCGUAACUUCGGGAGAAGGCACGCUGGUGUGUAGGUGAAGCCCCUGCGGGUGGAGCUGAGACCAGUCGAAGAUACCAGCUGGCUGCAACUGUUUAUUAAAAACACAGCACUGUGCAAACACGAAAGUGGACGUAUACGGUGUGACGCCUGCCCGGUGCCGGAAGGUUAAUUGAUGGGGUUAUCCGUAAGGAGAAGCUCUUGAUCGAAGCCCCGGUAAACGGCGGCCGUAACUAUAACGGUCCUAAGGUAGCGAAAUUCCUUGUCGGGUAAGUUCCGACCUGCACGAAUGGCGUAAUGAUGGCCAGGCUGUCUCCACCCGAGACUCAGUGAAAUUGAACUCGCUGUGAAGAUGCAGUGUACCCGCGGCAAGACGGAAAGACCCCGUGAACCUUUACUAUAGCUUGACACUGAACAUUGAGCCUUGAUGUGUAGGAUAGGUGGGAGGCUUUGAAGCGUGGACGCCAGUCUGCGUGGAGCCAACCUUGAAAUACCACCCUUUAAUGUUUGAUGUUCUAACGUUGGCCCCUUACCGGGGUUGCGGACAGUGUCUGGUGGGUAGUUUGACUGGGGCGGUCUCCUCCCAAAGCGUAACGGAGGAGCACGAAGGUUAGCUAAUCCUGGUCGGACAUCAGGAGGUUAGUGCAAUGGCAUAAGCUAGCUUGACUGCGAGCGUGACGGCGCGAGCAGGUGCGAAAGCAGGUCAUAGUGAUCCGGUGGUUCUGAAUGGAAGGGCCAUCGCUCAACGGAUAAAAGGUACUCCGGGGAUAACAGGCUGAUACCGCCCAAGAGUUCAUAUCGACGGCGGUGUUUGGCACCUCGAUGUCGGCUCAUCACAUCCUGGGGCUGAAGUAGGUCCCAAGGGUAUGGCUGUUCGCCAUUUAAAGUGGUACGCGAGCUGGGUUUAGAACGUCGUGAGACAGUUCGGUCCCUAUCUGCCGUGGGCGCUGGAGAAUUGAGGGGGGCUGCUCCUAGUACGAGAGGACCGGAGUGGACGCAUCACUGGUGUUCGGGUUGUCAUGCCAAUGGCACUGCCCGGUAGCUAAAUGCGGAAGAGAUAAGUGCUGAAAGCAUCUAAGCACGAAACUUGCCCCGAGAUGAGUUCUCCCUGAGACUUUAAGUCUCCUGAAGGAACGUUGAAGACGACGACGUUGAUAGGCCGGGUGUGUAAGCGCAGCGAUGCGUUGAGCUAACCGGUACUAAUGAACCGUGAGGCUUAACCUU
RNAcentral lists this ribosomal RNA (2902 nucleotides) under Klebsiella pneumoniae. RNAcentral describes it as "23S ribosomal RNA". It matches the Rfam family "Bacterial large subunit ribosomal RNA". The record is from RNAcentral. Lineage: Bacteria; Pseudomonadati; Pseudomonadota; Gammaproteobacteria; Enterobacterales; Enterobacteriaceae.